AGUGAACGCUGGCGGUAGGCCUAACACAUGCAAGUCGAACGGCAGCACAGGAGAGCUUGCUCUCUGGGUGGCGAGUGGCGGACGGGUGAGGAGUACAUCGGAAUCUACUUUUUCGUGGGGGAUAACGUAGGGAAACUUACGCUAAUACCGCAUACGACCUACGGGUGAAAGCAGGGGACCUUCGGGCCUUGCGCGAUUGAAUGAGCCGAUGUCGGAUUAGCUAGUUGGCGGGGUAAAGGCCCACCAAGGCGACGAUCCGUAGCUGGUCUGAGGGGAUGGUCAGCCACACUGGAACUGAGACACGGUCCAGACUCCUACGGGAGGCAGCAGUGGUGAAUAUUGGACAAUGGGCGCAAGCCUGAUCCAGCCAUACCGCGUGGGUGAAGAAGGCCUUCGGGUUGUAAAGCCCUUUUGUUGGGAAAGAAAUCCAGCUGGCUAAUACCCGGUUGGGAUGACGGUACCCAAAGAAUAAGCACCGGCUAACUUCGUGCCAGCAGCCGCGGUAA
RNAcentral lists this ribosomal RNA (506 nucleotides) under uncultured bacterium. Its description in RNAcentral is "partial 16S ribosomal RNA". It matches the Rfam family "Bacterial small subunit ribosomal RNA", at positions 29 to 523 of the family's 1533-position model. The record is from RNAcentral.